Molecule: ribosomal RNA, 261 nt
Filed under: uncultured bacterium
Lineage: Bacteria
Description: partial 16S ribosomal RNA
Rfam family: Bacterial small subunit ribosomal RNA
Source: RNAcentral
CGGAUGAGUUGCGAACGGGUGAGUAACGCGUAGGUAACCUGCCUGGUAGCGGGGGAUAACUAUUGGAAACGAUAGCUAAUACCGCAUAACAGUCGACAUUGCAUGAUGUUGAUUUGAAAGGGGCAAUUGCUCCACUACCAGAUGGACCUGCGUUGUAUUAGCUAGUUGGUGAGGUAACGGCUCACCAAGGCGACGAUACAUAGCCGACCUGAGAGGGUGAUCGGCCACACUGGGACUGAGACACGGCCCAGACUCCUACGG